AUACUUGGGUACUCUCCAGGGAUUACCCAAUAUACACACUAUCUUAUGUGACACAAUAAUAUAAAAACACCUAGCCAAAUUUAAUCUUCAAAUACUUAACCAAUUCUUUAGCCAAAUACUCACUAUUGUGUUAGCCAAACACCCAUCUUCAUUCACAACACAGAGAUCUAAACCACCAGCACCAGCGACGGUCCUCUCCCACCGCCAGUGGCCACGGUCCUCGCCGCACAAUCACCUGCAACGGUCCCACUACCACCAACCACGGUCCUCUCCCACCAGGCCACCACCUCCAGCCACGGUCGUCUCCCACCACAGACCAGUGUCCUCGCCCACCACCAUCAGCCACCGUCCCUUGCCGGAACUCAUGGCACCUUCAUCGUUGUAAAAUCUGGAUCUCACGUGAGAGUAGAAAACCGUGAAAAGAAGAGCACCCAACCCCACGAGCCAUCGUCCUCUCCGUAUGAAAAUCAAGGAACCCAUAUUUUUGGAUUACCAGAUUGGGCUUCUGGAAAUGGAAUCUUCCACCAUAGUUAGAUUGCCAUGAUUUGAAAAUGAAAGUGUUUCUCUGAUUGUGUGCUUUGGCGAGGAAGAAGGUGAGUGUUUGGCUACAGGAAUAAAGGAUGUUUGGUUACGUGUUUGAGAGAUUUAAAUAAGGACAGAUGUCGUUUUUUUAUUGUACCACAUAAGUGAGUGUGUAUAUUGGGUACUCCCGGAGAGUACCAAGUAUUAUCCACAUUAUAAUCAACAAAAAAACAAAAAAAACAAAACAACAUUAAAGGGACCACUCGGUCCCCACUAACCCUAACUCCCAUAAAUCCCCAUUUCCCCAACUUCUUCCUGCGGUCCUGACCCCCUGACUCCCUUUCACCAGCAAGCUGUUGCAGCACAGGAGGUCCCUGUCCGGCUGUCCUCAGCUCAGCGCCAAGCCCAUUGGCUGCUGUGCAAGAGCACUCACUCACCACCAACCCUUCUUUUUGAGUUUUGAGGUAAUUUUUGCAAACAAAUUAUCGAAGUCAUGUCUUUUAGGAAACAAUUUUCUAGUAAUAUGAAAAGGAAAAAAAAGGCAAAGGAUAAUGAAAUUUCAAGGAGCUUCGUUAGGAAUGGUUGUAUAUGAUUGUAUUUUUUAUUGUCGGGGUUUAGGUACUAUGUUCCUCCCCGUUGUAUAUUUUCUCAAGUAAUAUAAUUUGGGCGUGAGGGCCUAGCCCCCCAGCUUCGACUGGGUUCCAGCUCUCGUUAAAU
This is a long non-coding RNA of Malus domestica (apple), 1239 nucleotides long. RefSeq lists it as uncharacterized. The record is from RefSeq and is a predicted model, not a curated record. NCBI's taxonomy places the organism in Eukaryota, Viridiplantae, Streptophyta, Magnoliopsida, Rosales, Rosaceae.